GACCACUCUCCAUGCUAUUUCACCAUGUUCUCUGCCCACAAAGGCCGACCUAUGUGGACUGCAACAGUUGCUGCCUUUCUAGGAAAAGCCAUCCACCAUGCCAUGAAGAUACUCAAGCAGCCCCAGGGAAAGGUCCAUGUGGAGGGGAACUGAAUUCACUUCCCCCUUAUUAUGAGACACGGGUUCGAGCCCUGGCCGGGGGAGAUCCCACAUGCCGCAGAGCAACUAAGCCCAUGCGCCACAACUGCUGAGCCUGCGCGCCUAGAGCCCGUGCUCUGCAACAAGAGAAGCCACAACAAUGAGAAGCCCGCGCACUGCAACGAAGAGUAGCCCCCGCUCGCCGCAACUAGAGAAAGCCCGUGCACACCAACGAAGACCCA
Molecule: long non-coding RNA, 380 nt
Organism: Physeter macrocephalus (sperm whale)
Lineage: Eukaryota; Metazoa; Chordata; Mammalia; Artiodactyla; Physeteridae
Exons: 3
Source: RefSeq, a predicted model, not a curated record